This 17909-nucleotide long non-coding RNA is filed under the name Eucalyptus grandis. Its description in RNAcentral is "long non-coding RNA (EGRA_LNC005827)". Lineage: Eukaryota; Viridiplantae; Streptophyta; Magnoliopsida; Myrtales; Myrtaceae. The record is from RNAcentral.
UUUUAGCUUCUCCUGGGCAGCUGCCAGUCCUGGUGGGAAAGAUCUCUUUUCUUUUUCUUUUUUUUAGGAGAAUUGCGAGCCUCUUGUCUUCUAGAAAGCGCAAAAGACCCGAUCAAUGAUGGUCGCAUGUUGCUUUCUUCAUUGGGCUUUACUAGAUUUUCUUCCGUUCCUCUCUCUCUCCUCUCUCUCUCUCUUCUGGGGGAUAUGGCCGGAGCAAGAAUAGGAAAAUGAGACUUGUUGUUGGGAGUUCGCUAAUUUUAUUACCCUUUUUCUUUUCCAUGCUUUCCGGGCUUUGAGGGAAAAGUUUAGAUGGAUUCGUUUCACUUCAUGUUAGUCGUAGGUUUUUUUCCUUUGGUAGUGCCAAAUUUGGUGAGAGUGAGACGAGAUUGUCGUUAACAAUUCCCACAUGCUAAUGUGAUGUGACGAAAGUGUGCAUCUUGCAAGGGAAGUUACUCCAGUUACAAAUAUGGAUGUGUGGACAUUCUGGUUUAACGGUUUGAAUUAAUUUUCUGGUACUCUCUGUCUCUCCAAUUUUACGUGUUUCUGGUCCUGACUCUGUUUCUUCCUCUGCGUUUUAGAUUCUGCGACUCGAAUUCUAGGCCUUGAGUUCGGGAUUAAUUAUGGCCAAAUAGCGAACGACCUGCCCUCGCCUUCUCGUGUCGCCACCCUCCUCGGAUCCCUCAACGUCAGUAGGGUAAAGUUGUAUGAUGCAGAUCCCAAUGUCCUCCAAGCAUUUUCCAAUUCCAAUAUCGACUUCAUCAUUGGUAUAGGCAAUGACAAUCUCCAGAACAUGACCAUUCUUGCCAACGCCCAAGAUUGGAUCCAACAGCACGUCCAACCUUACAUUGGCCAAACCCAGAUCAGCUGCAUCGUGGUUGGUAACGAAGUGUUAAACAGCAGCACUAACCAAUGGAUGCCUUAUCUCGUCCCGGCGAUGAAAACCGUAUAUUCGGCCCUUUCCAACCUUGGACUGAAUAAGCAAGUCGCGGUCACAACAGCGCAUUCGCUCAAUAUUUUAGCUACUUCAUACCCGCCCUCUGCAGGUGCUUUCUGGCCAAAUCUUGCUCAGUACCUCCAACCCCUGUUGAAUUUCCAGGCGCAGAUAAAUACUCCAUUUCUCAUAAACGCGUAUCCUUACUUUGCGUAUAAGGGUAGUCCGAGCGAGGUGUCGCUGAAUUAUGUGCUUUUCCAGCCUAAUGAAGGGCUGACCGAUCCCGUCACCAACUUGCACUAUGAUAAUAUGUUGUACGCUCAAAUUGAUGCGGUUUAUUCAGCUAUUAAAGCGAUGGGACAUACUGAUAUCACCGUCAGGAUUUCUGAGACAGGUUGGCCGUCCAAGGGUGAUGACGAUGAGGCAGGGGCUACACUGGAGAAUGCACAUAUAUACAAUGAAAAUUUGUUGCAGAGGAUAGAGCAGAAACAAGGUACCCCUGCUAAGCCAUCGGUGCCUAUUGACAUAUACGUGUUUGCGCUAUUUAACGAAAACUUGAAGCCUGGUCCGACAUCUGAGAGGAACUAUGGACUCUACUAUCCAGAUGGUACUCCAGUUUAUAGCCUUGGAUUGCAAGGUUAUCUUCCAGAACUAUAUUCAGCGACUGGGACAAGAGUAAGACAAAUUCGUUUUCUUGCUUAAACUGUUGAGCUAGAUGAGUAACUGAUGAUGUUUUCUUUGGCUCUUUAUGUUUUUGCAGUUAUUGCCUUUCUCAAUGAAUAUUUUAGUAUCCAUCAUGACAUUCUUAAUGAGUAUUUGAGAGCAUGCUAAUCUGUUUACCGAGGGAAGGCUUCAACAAAACAAUCUCGAAGCAACUUUUUAGGUGAGCAUUUCAUCAUUUAUAUUUGUGCUGAUCAUCUUCUCUGCCCAAUAUUGCCGACUUGUUACUUUUUCGUGAUUCCCCCCCAACCCCCCAAAAAAAAAUCUCUCUAUCGAAUGACCAAAUGUUUGUCUAGUAAAAUGGGAGUUCACACCUGCCUUAGCAUCUUGACAAGUUCAAGGAACAUGCACUAAGAAGGAAGAAGAAGGCACUUCCCGUUGAUUUUCUUUGUAUUAGAUAUAAUUCUGCAUCAAGGUUCACAUAGCUGGUAUACUUUAUCGUCACUUGGAUUGUGAAGCCAGGCUAAUCAAGACCCGCUAUCGANNNNNNNNNNNNNNNNNNNNNNNNNNNNNNNNNNNNNNNNNNNNNNNNNNNNNNNNNNNNNNNNNNNNNNNNNNNNNNNNNNNNNNNNNNNNNNNNNNNNCCUCUCGGGGCUCUGAAGAAUGCAGUCUUUGUUGAAUUCAAAAGGUCAAAACAGAAGAAAACCAGAGCCUUUCCUAUAAAGGUCAUUUUCCAAUGUGAUCCAACCUUGUUUGUCAUCAAUGAGCGUAACAGAACUUGAGACUCAGAGAUGACAUUUCUGCCGCCCUUGAGUCAAAAUUCACAAAGUGCUGAUUGCCGGCUUUCUCCAUGAGGGUGAUGUGGCUCUACUUUUGUAGAUUCCAGCAAUGGUCUGAAAGAGAAAGGGAUAAGAUUUGACAGAUAGACAAGUCCCUCAAUAUUCACCAUAGAUAUAAUGAUGACAUGAUACCUACCCGUAUCCAGGAUCGUUAGUAUAUUGCUAGAGGAAUCGUGUAUAUAUGAUCCAUGUUGAGCUUAUAUUUAUGUCUUUGUCGUGGCACCGGUAAAGUGCAAGACCAAGAGUCUCAGAAUCAAUCAAAGUUAGGAAGAAGCUUUGACUCGAGGCGACAGCCACUACUUGAUACUGAUUUAAAUGCAGAAAGUUUAGUUCUUUUUCAUCAUUAGCAAUGUAAUGUUCUGUUGCUUGUGUUAUGGCUAAAUCAUUAAAACGUUUUCUCCCCUUCUUUUGCAAGAGAUUCCAGAGAGCUUACAUAAUCACAUAGCGCGAAUGGAUGAGAUUAUUCAGCUACACUAGAUGGAGUUUUGACUUGAAGAGUGUACUAGUAUGUCUGUCUUUGUCUGUAAUAGUGAAAAAACACAAAUCGCUAAGUAAAGUUUAGGAUCCUAGGAAAUUAACACACUGAUUCACGACAUAGCUUCUGUAAUAAAAGCAUUGGGUAUAGCGGGUUGAUACGAUAUUGUACGAACACGUUCUGGGAGGGACUCUCCUGCUGUGGAAGAAGCUCGAGCUCUUUCACGGUCCUACUUUUUACGGUGGGUGUAUAAAUAUAUGGACUUUACAUUAUUUUUACUCGAUUUAAUAAGAUGGACGAUGAGUAGUACCAGAUAGAUUGUGGAUUUCUCAUGGUUCGCCUUUUCAUUCGUCGUUACAUAUGUAUUUUCGCCCGGGUUUCCCUUCAGGUGGGUAUAGUCGCGAUGUGCCUUUAGAUAUGUCCCUUUUUCUCCCAUCCUUCAAGCGCUAGCAACUAUGCCUGUUCAAGCACCAUCUGGUUAUCGUUCUACAAUAUCAUCAUCGGGGACGAUCCGUAUGAGAACCCAAAUGCUUCUUGUGACGCUCUUUGAGUCUGCCCGUCUCAGGAGAUGCCUAAUUAAAUGGUUCUGUUGUAAAGGAAGAUCUUGUAUUGCUCGGGGCAUGAGUACAUCACCAGUUUAGACUGAAUUGCCCUUAACUAGCCCAACUGGUUCUAUCGAGCAACGAUCCGAUUCUUUUGUUUCUCAACGCCAGUCCAUCUCGGGUAAGAUUCAGUUUAGAAGAAGUCGUAGGCUGAUUCCUUUCUAAGUGGGACAAUUCAAUCCUAAUUCUUUUAUUGUGCUCAUUUAGUCGUAAACUUUUGACAACUUACUAAUUUAGUCUUAAAACUUUUUAAUUGGGUCAGUUUAGUCUUAAAUCUUUUAAGGGUUUGCCAAUUUGGUCCUAAACAUUUUGAGAUUUACUAAUUGAAGUCAUUCCGGUGAAUAUUGGUCUGAAAUUGCUAAUAUCAUAAUCUAAUCAAUAUUGUCAUAUGUGACAAAACCAACGCAAACAUGGACAAUUUUUACUUUAAAAAAAAAUUGACAAAUCAUCAUAUGGUUUAGGACUAAAGUAGUAAGCUAUCAAAAUAUUUGGUACUAAAUUAACUAAAUUGAAAGAUUUAGAAUUGAAUUGAACGCCAUAAAAUAAGUUUAAGAAAUUUUGAACAAUUUUUUCCUUCUCAUGCACUACCUAAUGAGUUAUACGUUCUCCACAAUGUAAAGGGUAGAAAGCUGUUGAUUAUAAAUGCAAUGACAAUACUACAAUGGGGUAAUGUUAUGGAGGACAAAUUUGAUUGAAUUUACUGAGAUUCCUCCGAGAAAUCCACUUCAUUGUCCAUUGUCCAAUCUUCCAUCACAAUCUCAACGAGAAGAAUGGCGAAAACCACAAUACCCUCGAUUGAUUUGAGUGGAGAACUAGAAAGCCAAAAUCUCGGUAAACCAGAGAGGAUUGCAGAUGGCUAUGCGGAAAUCGAUCGAUAAAAACACCACCUCUCAGAGUACAGCAAGCAUAAAAGCAUACAAAUGUUCCUACUUAUAAUAGCUGACAAGAGGACUCCCAAGAAUCUACAGUUAUAGAGCGACGAGCCGCCAUCGCACCUUAGUGUCCAGUAUUUACACGCCAAACAAAGUAUAAUACUUAGCCGUCAAUCAUAUGAUACAAGAAAAGGAAGGAUCAUACAAUGAACUCAUCAUAUCCGAGUGUCGCUGAUCCCGUGUAUUGCAGAUCUUUCUCUUUGAAUUUCUCUGUCAGGCCCUGAAAUGUGAUGUUAAGUAACGAGAAGGUCACUCAAUUAGCCAUUGAAGCAUCUGUGUAGACGAACCCUGACUAUAUCAUACUAUACUCAUGACAGUUCAUAUAGUUGAAUUGACAUUGUACCUUCACAAUCAUUCCACAUCUGCGCAUCCAACACAACGUUAAUGAGUUCUGCAUUAAAAUCUGAUUCUUCUCAGCUCAAGUGGGCUGGAGGCUAAAAGGAAAGAAGGUGCAUACUCGACAAAAGCAUCAAAAUUAAGUUCGCAUGUCCUGCCGCUGCUGCCGUCAUAUCUAGACAUCAGAACUUGAAGAACAGAUGGCGGAAUCACGUAGCUUAGACUGUACAGAGCAUCCCUCAGUUCUGUCGAGUCGAUUUUUCCGCUUCUGUCUCUAUCGAAUCUCUCGAAUAAGGGCUGUCCGAGGGAAACUGGAGGUUGGAACUAAUGUCGGUGGAUCCCCUGUUGUACACGACCAGAAAAAUCCCAAGAAAGCCCGUCCAAAUGAGAGAGAGAUUAGAACAAACUCGCCCAGGAAGCUAACUACAUUAUAAAUUGCAGAAAAUAUCUCACCUUUCCGGCGAGGCUCUUCCAAGAAAUCACUCCUCAGUAGAGAGAGAGAGAGAGAGAAGACUAUCUUUUGAUCUCUUUCUUUUUCAUUGGUGACAUAACUAUAAAUGGGGAAGAGAAUCGUUUGGUGGAAGUGACAGCAAAUUUACGAAACCUCUCUCUCUCUCUGGUUGCUGGCAAGUGUUUGAAGGUAAAUACCAUAAACUGGUCUAUGAAUUUUGUACAGGUUUGUAAUGUCAUUUUUGAAUUUUUAAUGUAAUAUGGUUUCCAAAUUUUAAGUACAUAUUCAAUUUAGUCAUAAAAUUGUUAGGAGUGUGAAUGCAAAUUGGUUCAAUCCGGAAACAAAACCGGAACUCUUGAAAAAUAGGUCUAGGAAUAUGUUCUUAUUAAACUUAGUCCAGGAAUAGCUUUUGAGUAAACACUCACCGAGAAAUUGGAUUGGACCACCUUAUUUUGAAAUUGGUUUUAUGAGUUAAAAAGUCAAAAUCCUAAUUUAUUUUUCCCCUAAAUUUUGACCUUAGUACUCCUUUGUUCUUUGUUCUUCCUCGAAACUCUUUGCUAGUCUUUUGUCUUCUGCUAAAUUUUUAUAGAUUAAUAGGGGAUGAAAUUCUAUAAUUUAUGUUUUAUGUUAUGUGUUUAAACUUUUAUCCUUUAUAAUAGUAUAGGUCUAGGAAUCUUAUGGAUUGCUGUUUUUGGUGUAUUCUGUUGUCCACCUUUUCCUUUGAAUCAUUUUGGUACUCGUAGUCUCAUAUAAUUUUGCUAUAAAAAAUUACCAAAAAAAAGGUACAAAAAGAUAAAACGGGUUUUUUUAGUAUAUUUUGAAGUCAUACCAGAAAAAAAGAAUAUGUUCAAGAAUUAGUUAUAAUAGGGUAGGUUUCAGGUUUUAACUCUGAAUUUUACUACUUUGAAAGCCAUCACUCCUAAAAAUUAUAUAAAUAUAACUAGAAGAAUAAAUGGGCUAAAAAAUGUUGAAAAUUAGUUGCAUUUCCAUCGUCGGGAGGAUUCUAUUUAGGGACAAGAUCGGAUAGGCCAAAAAGGUAGGGACGAAUGCCGAGAUAUUUAUCGCCUGUAAUAAUCUGGCAGAACCCACAUGGACCGGCCGACGAAAACUGGAGGUUGGAACUACGUCGGUGGAACUACGUCGGUGUAUGGCAUGCUGAACCCGACCAGAAAAUCCCAAGAAAGCUCCGUCCAAAUGUGAAACCGGAGAGAGAGAAAAAGAUCAGGACAAACCCCCCGCCAAGAAGCUAAACUAUAUUAUAAGUUGCAGAAAAGCGGCGAGGCUCUUCCAAGAAAUCACGCCGCACGCCUCCACAAUAGAGAGAGAGAAGACCAUCUUUUAAUCUCUUUAGUAGGGAAAAGAUCAUCAAAAAUCAAAAAUUUUGUUCAAAGUGACAAAUUUAUUCAAAAUCUUUUUUUUUUAUAACCCAAGGAAUCUGUAAACUGACAGCCAGUGAGCAAAUUUUGGGGGAACGACUGCAAGACUCAUCACCACAUGAUUCGAACUUCUCCCCUUCGUGACGGGAAGAUAGCCCAAGUCAGCUGCGCCGUUGAGGGCGAUGGCUUCAAAACUUUUUUUGUGACAAAAAAAAAUCCAAACUUUACAAAUUAUGACAUAUUUACUUCAUCAAGGACAUUUUCGUCUUUUUAUUUUUAUAUUUUUUCCUUAGAAUUUUAAAUUUUAAAAGGUAAAUAGUUUAAAAUAAAUGUUUCACACCGAUAGAAAUUCAUAGUUUUUUAUGUCACAGAAAAAAAUUUAGGAUAAAUAUGUUACAAUUGAUAAAAUUCGAAAUUUUUCAUGUCAUUAAAUAAAAUUUGGGAUAAAUUUGUCAUUUCGCUGACUCGCCGCCAUAUCCGGCAAGCUAGCGAGGCUCACCCUCGCCAGCCGCCACCUCUGGUCAUUCGCCGAGGUCUGGCGACCUGCUAGAGGAAGAAGAGGAGAAGAAACAAAGAAAAAUUUUAAAAUUUUAAAAAUAUUAAAAUAUUAUUAAAAGUUAUUUACGUUAGCGCCGAUCAAGCCUUAUCAACCGGUUGGUAUCUAGUUAGCAAUAUCCAGCCAAAAUUGGCUGGAAAUGAUUGAAUCAGCACAAUCUAAAAAAGUUUAGGACUAAAUUAGCACCAAAAAAAGGUUUAUGACUAAAUCGGUACAACGACAAAAGGUUUAGGAUUUUUUUGGCACUUUUCCCUAUUUAAAUGUUCGGUGUUGCCAACUUUGAAUUAUAAUUGUGGUGCACUUAAGUCACUCUAGAAUCUAUUCCCAAAAGUUCGCAGAAUGGAAUAUGGAGGGGAAAAAACAUUUAGUCCAUUGAAAUAGGUUCGUAGUUACAAGUAUCCAUGGCGCCUAUUUAGGAAAUUUCACGGUAUACAAAUAACAACAAUAGAAUAUACAAAUUCUUGAGGAUGUCGUCACGGGAAAAUUCUCCGACUAAUCAUGUAGUUAUUAGUGAAAGAACCCUAUUCUCCUUUCCCUUGACCCAUCCACUUCAACACUUAAGAAAAAAAAGACACAUCGGAUUCAUGUCAUGUGCCAAUUCUAUAUUGGAUUAAAGGAAUCCGUCCCCUCAAUCAUUGUGCCUUUGACUCAAUUAAGGUGUUUACGUAUGUUAAAAUGCACGCAUGAGUUAUUUAAAGAAGAGUCUCACGUUGGAGAAUUGAUACGGUACAAAACAAUUUAUAUAUUAUAAUUGACUAAUAACUUAUUGAUUUGAGUUUUUAAGUGAAUAUAGAUCUAACUGAAUAUAUUAAUAGACUUGAACAUAUGCUUCAUUUUGGCAAUCUUUUCAGGUAAAUAUAUGUCGCGACCUACCCUCGGGGGGAGGGAACAGGUUUAGGGGUAUUGCCCAAAGGACUGGCCUAAGGCCCCUAAUUAGACGUGGGCUCUCCCAAGCCCAUAUCCCGCGUGACGUUGGGAUAUUCUUAAGAAAUUUUGCAUAAAAGGAGUCGCCACUAGCCUAUUGGGGUCAGCUAGAAACCAAGUGAGGCAUGGGAGCGUGCCUCACUUCCUACGCAACCAGAGAAGUUAGGUUUGGGGACUUGAUUACACUAAUUAACCAAUUAGUGCCAUUUCGGUACCUAAUCUUGUUCGUUUUAAUAAAAUGAUUUUUGACAGACAAUUUGGACUAAUUUUAUAUUUAUCCACUAACAUGUGAGGUGAGCAUGCAGGUGCGCAAUCAAUAAAGUAGCAAUUAGCAAUUAAGAAAAGUGAUUAAAUAAAUUGCAUGAAAGAGCAAACAUUCAACACCAAAGAAAAGAUAAAUACUAAUCCUAACUAAACUAAAGAGAGGCCAAAAUCAACAUAUCAAUGUCAUGCAUUCAAAGACAUUUAUUCCCAAGGACAAUUGAGGUCUUAAGGUAAAACCCUAAAGGUUUAACCAAAUUUAAGCAUAGUUCUCAAUUGGAAUACUUCCAUUUUUUAAGAGAGCAUGACCCAAGAGAUUGAUUUGAACCCUUUUAUAGAUUUUUUUUUUUGAUAAAAAAAAAAUCAGAAUUUUUUUAAAGAUUUUUUUUUAUAUAUAAAAAAUGAAUUUUCGAAUUUCCCCCAAAAAAAGACUAGAUUUUACAAUUUUUUGGAUUUUUUUUCUGAAAAAACGAAAUUUUUUUUAUGUUUUCUGAAUUUUUGAAUUUUCGGAUGAGUUUUUGAAUUUUUAUCAUUUUUUUGAAUUUUUAAUUUUUUUAAACUUUAAAAUUUAAAUCUUUUUGAAAUUUUUAUAUAUUUUUAAUAUUUAAUAUUAUUAUAAUCGGGAAAACGGGUCGAACUGGAUAGAUCCGAUCCGGCCAUUGACCCGACCCAAAACCGGAUUCGACUCUAUCGGAUUGAAAGAGAAAAUUAGUAUUUUUUUUUUUCCAGCAAACUAGUAGUAGGGCAAACCCAUCACUUACUUUUUAAGUGCUACACUAGCUUUCGCUCAUAAUUCAAUCAGAGCUCCAAUAGACAUAUAUCAAUUACCAAAUUCGAAAAAAUAUAGUACUCUAAAGUGAUUGAAAUAAGAAACCAGAGUGAUAGCGAAGCUUAACGAUUUCAUCAUGCCUUGGGCCACAGGGUUGAAACUUUAGGAAAAAUUAAGGCGACGAGGGGAAAUUAUGAUGAUCAAAAUCAGUGUCGUUAAUGAGGAAAAAGGGAAGAGCAGGUGUGUCCGACCUGGCUUGAGAGCUCCCCCUCCCUCACCUUUUCCUCGAACGAGAAAAAAAGGUACUUGUUUUGAGCUCUCUCUUGCCUGCCUGUCAUGCACUUUGGCACGAUGUCGCCAGAUUCAUCCACUUCUUAGGGUUUUCUCUCUCUCCUUCCUCGCGAAUCCAAGAACCCGAAAGCCCUUCGAGAUUCCGCACUGUGUUAAGAGCCUUGCCUUCGCUUUUUCGCCAAGAUCAAAAUCGACCCUCGUCGGCUCCGCACUCCCACCUCCCGAUCUUGGGCUCUUUUCUCUUUCUCCGGGGUCCAUUCUCAAGUGGGUGCCUCGUAUUUCCUUCCACUUCGCUCGAAGCUUCUUGCUUUUCUUCUGGGUAGUUGAGAAAAGAUCGCAAGAUUGCUUGUUCCCUUCUUCUUCUUCUUCUUCUUCUUCUUCUUCUUCUUCUUCUUCUUCUUCCUGGGUCUGGUUUGGUCUGGUUUUGGUUGGGAGUUAGGUGGAGGUACGGUGAAGAUAUCGUUCUACACUAAUCCCGACUAGUUUUCAGCUCUUCGAUUCGGCUCCUCGUACACCCGGUUGAGUUGUUUCUGCGUUUUGGGUCGCUCGGAUUUCGGGAGUUGGGUAUUUAAAUAGUGGGAACAGGGUAGUAGAUUUGUCGAUUCAGAUGGCUGCAUCUGGGGAUGGUGCUGCUUGUGUCGAUGGCGUCGAGAAGCUGGUUUCCGCGAGGAAGUCGUUGAUCCUGAGCUUGGAGAAGUCGAAAGCCCUGAGCUCGAAGCUGGAGAAAACGGGCCCGAGAUUGGCCGAGAUCAACCAGAGGUUGCCCUCCUUGGAGGCUGCCGUCCGGCCUAUCCGCGCCAAUAAGGACGCCCUUGACGCUGUGGGUGGGCACAUUAACCGUGCGGUCGGCCCCGCCGCGGCGGUGCUCAAGGUUUUCGAUGCGGUUCAUGGACUCGAGAAGAUGCUGUUGUCAGAUCCGCGCAAUGACUCGUCGGUGUUGAAGCGACUCGAGGAGGCAUUGAGAUUUUUGGGGGAUAAUUGUGGAUUGGCAAUCCAGUGGCUGGAGGAUAUAGUGGAGUAUCUGGAGGAUAAUACUGUGGCAGAUAAAGGGUACAUUUCAAGUCUGAAUAAAAUAUUGCAGAGUCUUAGGGAAUUGCAGAGCGAUGGUGGAAGAGCACAUCUUGAUGGUGGGCUCCUCGAUGCGGCAUUGGAUAUACUGGAAAGUUAGUUCCGUCGGCUCUUGACGGAGCACAGUUCAUCGCUUCCAAUGUCUGCUCCAUCAUCUCUUGGAGAGCAAGCUUGCAUUGCACCGUCUCCAUUGCCAGUAGCGCAAAACCUCGAAUUCAAGGAAGAGGAAGCCGCGGCUUGGUGGUUCCGGCUAGGAGGCACAAGCUCGUGUCGGGGUGGCUGAGCGAUGUUCGGCUGAGGUGGGUUCCGAGCCUCCUUCUUCCUGGUCACUCUCCGUUUCUACCCUUCUCCUUCCUUCAAGCUCUCUCGCCAAAGGCCAUCUCAAAUCUCUCUCGGCCAAUUUCCUCUCUGUCUUCGUUCUCUCCUUUCCUUUCCCCCCCCCACCUUUUUUUUUACCAAGCUCCCUCUUCUCUCUAUAAAUCUGCCGUAGGUUGCCCCCUUUUGGCAUCCCUCCAGAGCGGUUUUGGAUGGCCAACGAAGCCAGCUGCCUUUUCCUUCCAUCUCCAUCUCAAGACUGUCGUUAAUCAGCCUCCUCUCCCUGCCUGUGUAUGUGCCUGCAGCUAUUUCGGUUUUUGGGGGGCGAGUUAAUGGUAUUUUCGGCUAAGAUGGCAGCAAGCUCUUUUGGGUUUUGACAACCGCAGGCAUCGCCAUGCUGCAGCCGUGUGUCAUCGCUUCCCCUUCUUCUGCUCUAUCUCCUGCCUCUCCCUCUGUUCUAUUUCUUUCUUUUUUGCAGGUCUUCGAAGACCGACACAGAGGGAGGAAGACCCUCUCUCGCGGGCUGAAAGGGAAAAAGGGGGGUUGGGCUGGGCCCAAUGCAUGGAGAGAAAAGAAAAAAAGGGUGGGCUGUUGUUGUUUCCUUUUUUUUUUUUUUUUGACUUUUUGAUUGAUUGAUUUUUUAAAAAAAAUAGGUGUCAACAAUAUAUUAGGCUUCUGUUGCGUGCUUUCAACACUAUAAAUCAAUAUUACUCAAUAAUGUGACAUGUUAAUCUCUAAUUCUAUGGUUUUGGUCAUUCCUGGUUGUACCUUCAUUGGCUCACUCGCUGCCUUCGGGUGAGGUUUUAGUUCGAGGACAUGGCAUUGCUGGGUACCAUCUAUUAAAAGGAGAUUAAUAAAGAUGGACUUUCCAAGGACAUAAAACCUCGUUCUCCUAUGAGAAACCGAACGAGAAAAGACGACGAAUGGGGUUUAGAAAAGGCCGCAAAUGUUUUGCCAAUUUCAUGUUCUGCGAGUUAGGUCUUAUUUGUCAUAAAAGAGGUCAGGUCUCAUUUGGCCGGCUAUUAAAAGUUCGGUAGCACCAAAUGUCAAUAAUCCACGUCGACCACCUGACUCCAAAUCAUUUACUUUCUUCUUCCAGCUCAAUUGAAACGAAAUGCAUUUUGACUUAGGCGAGUUCUGACCCACAGGUUCUCCGAUGGCGCCGGCAAAAUUGUCGUUCGUUCUCUAAAAUUCACGUUUUGUUGUCUUUUCGUCCCCAUUUUCAACUUAACUUCUGAUUGGUCCUUGAAAAAUUAAUAUUAAUCAGGAGGCGACGGGAGGGAGACGUUGAAAUGAAGGCUCCCAAAAUAAUUUUUUUAUAUCCCGAGUUAGGAAUGGUAAGUGUACUGUGCUUCAGCUGGAGAAAGCGUCUUUUGGAUUUUUAUUUUCUUCUAAUGGUGAAAAGGAAUUUUAUUAUUAAAAAAAUCGAGGUGAUAAGGUACGACUUUUUUAGUAGGGGCGCGCGUGCGCUAAUGCUGAGGUGCCGCUGCCGACUUUGCUGUCAGAUGCCGACGGAAGAAGCCGCCCGCGCCGACGGUGGCGGUCUCAGACACGUGUUCUCCAGUGAGAUUUCGUGUCAGCACCACCUGCCGGUAUUUUUUUUUAUAUCGCCUUCCCGAUUAUUUUAAUUUGCGAUCGCUGAAAAAGCGAUUAAGAAAAAAAAGAGAAAAAAAUAUCAUUAUAAUCGCAGGCCAAAAGAAGAAAAUUAAUAAAUCGGGAUGUAUUCGUGAAAAAAGUCUUGGGGACACGUCAGACAUCGUAUCUACUUCCGAACUGAUCGGUAUGAAUUUUGACCCAAUUAAUAACGUCAUCCAUAAAUAAUGUUCGUAUUUUUAGCACAUAUUCAAUUACGUCAAUGUUAUAAUUUUCAUAAUUAUUUUGUUUUGUCAUAAAAUUAUAUAACUUCAAAAAUGGGAAAAUUUUUAAAUAAAAGCUUAAAAUAGAUGAAUUUUCUUCAAAGAGGAUUAAGAAUUGUCUCAAAUAAGAACCCAAGAUGCAAAUUAAUCGUAAAUAAAGCCUAACUUCGUCGGCAGGAAGCAUAUGUUUAAUCCGAUGGCACAAUAGGGGCAUAAUCGUCCAAAGACAUUUCUCUUUUAUCCCUUUUUUAUCCUUUCACUUUUUUCCUCUUCUUCCUCCUUUACCCACGUUGGUGUCCUGGCCGUCUUCCAUGGCCGUCGGCUGCGUUCAAGCGUCUUCUUGCCCGGCUCUUCAGAUCUGUCCGACUGGCCGUCCAUGGCCACCGGCGCCGAACAAGCCGUCAUCGCUCGUGGCCGUCUUCCAUGGCCGUUGGCCCACGUUUUUAUCCAGAUUUGGUCGUCUUCCACGGCCAUCGACCUGCGUUCAGGCGUCUCGCCCGGGUCUUCUGAUCUGACCGUCCAUAGCCAUCGGCGCCGAACUAGCCCAUCCUCGUCGCCUUGAGCCGAACAAGUCGUCGUCGUCGCCGCUUCGGCCUCUUCUGCUUCUGCUGCUUCCGGCCGACGUGCAGGGGCGGCGCCGCCGGCUCAAACUUCUUAUUCUUGUCAUCGGAGCCAUGCUGCUUGCGGUCGCGGGACUGGCACUUGAGGUUUUUCUGUCGGGAUCAGAGGUGAUUUUAUCAGAACCUUCCUUAAGGAACAAGUUCGAUAUACGCUUUUGAGUGUCAGGGAGAGAGGACCGCUCGUUCGCCGGCGGCGGCCAUGGAAUGUGGGCCGACGUGGGUGAAGGAGGAAGACUGACCCACAGUCUCAUUGAUCUUCUGAUAAUGAUGAUGUGUUUGUUUAGCUCUCACUGAUCGGAGAGAUGGUGAUCGUGUCAUGUGUUUAGCUCCUUCACCCACGGUUUGUAUCCAUCACCAUCACCAUGCAUUCCCGCAACUUCACUCCAACGAAGAAGAUGAAUAGUGAAAAGAUAGGAAAACAAAAUGGAAAAAAAAAACAAAAGAAGAAGAAAUGUCUUUGGACAAAAAUGGCCCUCUCUCCCACCGGUGAGCUCAGACCCCUUUUUUAAAACCAAUUUCAGAUCUUUAUAUGAGGUUAGAUGACUAUUUCAGACUCUUAAAUCAGUCAGACAAUAUCAAUUCUGAAUUCUCUGACGAGAAAAUGCAUCCACGUCAGAACAUUAUUUAGAAUUUUUCCGUAAUAUUGAAAAUAGUUGCAUUUGAGUCAUUCGAAGAGUUCUGUUUUGGGACAAGGUCGAGUAGGCCAAAAGAGAUGGAAACGAAUCCCGAGAUAUAUUUCGCUGGUAAUUGGGCAGAAACCACAUGGGCUGUCCGAGGGAAACUGGAGGUUGGAACUAAUGUCGAUGGAUCCCCUGUUGUACACGACCAGAAAAAUCCCAAGAAAGCCCGUCCAAAUGCGAAACCAGAAAGAGAGAGAUCAGAACAAACUCGCCCAGGAAGGUUACUACAUUAUAAAUCGCAGAUAAUAUCUCACCUUUCCGGCGAGGCUCUUCCAAGAAAUUACGCCUCAGUAGAGGGAGAGAUGACUAUCUUUUGAUCUCUUUCUUUUUCAUUGGUGUCAUAAUUAUAAAUGGGGAAGAGAAUCGUUUGGUGGAAGUGACAGCAAUUUUACGAAACCUCUCUCUCUCUCUCUCUCUCUCUCUCUCUCUCUCUCUCUCUCUCUCUCUCUCUCUCUCUCUCUGGUUGCUGGCAAGUGUUUGAAGGUAAAUAACAUAAAUUGGUCUAUGAAUUUUGAACAGGUUUGUAAUAGGGGUGUGCAUUGGACCCGGGAACCGCCCGGACCGCCCGGAACCGGACCGGAACCGCCCAGAACCGGCGGUUCUUGAGGGAACCGGUCCGGUUCCCGGGUCCAAUUGUUGAGAACCGGUGGGAACCGGUCCGGUUCCCGGUUCCGUGGGCGGACCCACCCACCCGGACCGGACCGGUACUAUUUAUAAUUAAAAAAAAAAAAACAAAACAAAAGUGGCGAAGCCCCCCUGCCCCUAAUCGCGAAGCCCUAAUUCGCGUUUCUUCUUCUUCAGCCUUCAAUUCUCUCUGUUCCUUUCCUUCUCUUCGUCUUCGAUUCCACGGUUCCACCCCGAGUAUCCACACCGCCGCCGCUACUCCUCCUCCGCCACUGUCCGCCCCCUCGCGCCGGUCACCACUCGCCACAACCGCUGCUCCUCCGCCUCUGCAAGAACUCUCGACCGAGCCGGCGAGCCCCUUUUCCGUCACUCAACAAGGUACGAAGCCCUAAUUCGCGUCUCAUCUCUUGAUUCUCUUCCAAUUUCUUCCUCAGUCUUUGAUUAUCUCUCUGUUUCUUCCUCAAUCUCUUCUCCUCGUCUUCGAUUCCUCACCAAGCAUCCACGCCGCCGCCGCUGCUCCUCCUCCGCCACUGUUCGCCCCCUCGCGUCGGUCGCCACUCGCCACAACCGCUGCUCCUCCGCCGUUGCUGUCCGGCCCCUCGCGCCAGUCGCCUCCCACCACAACCGCUGCUCUUCCGCCUCUGCAAGAACUCUCGACCGAGCCGCUUUUCCGUCACUCAACAAGGUACGAAGCCCUAAUUCGCGUCUCAUCUCUUCCGAUUUCUUCCUCAGUCUUUGAUUCUCUGUUUCUUCCUCAAUCUCUUGUCUUCGUCUUCGAUUCCUCCCCAAGCAUCCACACCGCCGCCGCUGCUCCUCCUUCGCCACUGUCCGCCCCCUCGCGCCGGUCGCCACUCGCCACAACCGCUGCUCCUCCGCCUCUACUGUCCGCCCCCCUCGCCGACGCUCAGUCCCUUCGUCUUUGAUUCCUCCCUGAGCCUUGACGCCGCCGCUGUUGCUCCUUUGCCACUGCUGUCCGCCCCUUCGCAUUUGUGCAUCAAAAUUUUUGGCGUCAAAAUCGGUUCCAUGGAUCCACCCGGGAACCGGACCGGCGGUCCGGUUCCCGGGUGGAUCCAUGCAAUAAACGGGUGGAUCUCGGUUCCGAUUUUUCGGAACCGGUCCUUAGCGGGCGGUUCCCAGUUCUAGGUCGGGAACCGCCCGCCCGGACCAUGCACACCCCUAGUUUGUAAUGUCAUUUUUAAAUUUUUAAUGUAAUAUGGUUUCCAAAUUUUAGAUACAUAUUCAAUUUAGUCAUAAAAUUGUUAGGAGUGUGCAUCCAGAUUGGUUCAAUCUAGAAACAAAACUGGACCGCUUGAAAAAUAGGUCUAGGAAUAUGUUCUUAUUAAACUUAGUCCGAGAAUAGCUUUUGAGUAAACACUCACCGAGAAAUUGGAUUGGAUCACCUUAUUUUGAAAUCGGUUUUAUGAGUUAAAAAGUCAAAAUCCUAAUUUCUUUUUUCCCUAAAUUUUGACCUCAGUACUCCUUUGUUCUUUAUUCUUUCUCGAAACUCUUUGCUAGUUUUUUGUCUUCAGCUAAAUUUUUGUAGAUUAAUGGGGGAUGAAAUUUUAUAACUUAUGUUUUAUGUUAUGUGUUUAAACCUUUAUCGUUUAUAAUAGUACAAGUCUAGGAAUCUUAUGGAUUGCUGUUUUUGGCGUAUUUUGUUGUCCACCUUUUCCUUUGAAUCAUUUCGGUACUUGUAGUCUCAUAUAAUUUUUGCUGUAAAAAAAUGAACCAAAAAAAGGUGCAAAAAGAUAAAACGGGUUUUUUGAGUAUAUUUUGAAAUUGGACCAGAAAAAAAAAUGUUCAAGAAUCGGCUUCACAGUCAAAAUUGGGAAUAAGAUAUAAUAGGGUAGAUUUUAGGUUUUAACUCUGAAUUUUACUACUUUGAAAGCGAUCGCUCCUAAAAAUUAUAAAAUAUAACAAGAAAAAUAAAUGGGCUCAAAAAUGUUGAAAAAAAUUAGUUACAUUUCCAUCGUCGGGAGGAUUCUAUUUUGGGACAAGAUCGAAUAGGCCAAAAAGGUAGGGACGAAUCCCGAGAUAUUUAUCGCCUGUAAUAAUCGGGCAGAACCCACAUGGACCGGCCGACGAAAAACUGGAGGUUGGAACUCCGUCGGUGGAACUACGUCGGCGGAUGGCAUGUUGAACACGACCGAAAAUCCCAAGAAUGCUCCGUCCAAUCCAAACGUGAAACCGGAGAGAGAAAAAGAUCAGGACAUGGACAAACCCGACCAAGAAGCUCUCCCGCACUGGAGAGAAAGAGAAGAUCAUCUUUUAAUCUCUUUCUUUUUCAUUGGUGAUCUAAAAGUAUAAAUAGGGGAGGAGAAUCGUUUGGUGGAAGUGACAGCAAUUUUACGGAACCACUCCCUCUCUCUCUCUCUCUCUCUCUCUCUCUCUCUCUCUCUCCCCCCCUUCUUUGUGAGGAGGUUGCUGGCGAGUGGUUGCUGCUGACACCUUUUUUUCUUGGUGGGCAUUGAGGGGCGGGAGGUCUUCGAUCCUAGAACGCAUCAAUGGCUUCCUCCUCCUCGCUCCUCAGAGCCCUCUUUCUUCUACUUUCUCUCUCAGGUUCGUCCUCUCUCUCUCUCUCUCUCUCUCUUCCUUCCAGCCAGUCUUUGUCACUACCCUUUUAGCUUCUCCUGGGCAGCUGCCAGUCCUGGUGGGAAAGAUCUCUUUUCUUCUUUUUUUAGGAGAAUUGCGAGCCUCUUGUCUUCUAGAAAGCGCAAAAGACCCGAUCAAUGACGGUCGCAUGUUGCUUUCUUCAUUGGGCUUUACUAGAUUUUCUUCCGUUCCUCUCUCUCUCUCUUCUGGGGGAUAUGGCCGGAGCAAGAAUAGGAAAAUGAUACUUGUUGUUGGGAGUUCGCUAAUUUUAUUACCCUUUUUCUUUUCCAUGCUUUCCGGGCUUUGAGGGAAAAGUUUAGAUGGAUUCGUUUCACUUCAUAUUAGUCGUAGGCUUUUUUCCUUUGGUAGUGCCAAAUUUGGUGAGAGUGAGACGAGAUUGUCGUUAACAAUUCCCACAUGCUAAUGUGAUGUGACGAAAGUCUGCAUCUUGCAAGGGAAGUUACUCCAGUUACAAAUAUGGAUGUGUGGACAUUCUGGUUUAACGGUUUCAAUUAAUUUUCUGGUGUUCUCUGUCUCUCCAAUUUUACGUGUUUCUGGUCCUGAUUCUGUUUCUUCCUCUGCGUUUUAGAUUCUGCGACUCGAAUUCUAGGCCUCGAGUUCGGGAUUAAUUAUGGCCAAAUAGCGGACGACCUGCCCUCGCCUUCUCGUGUUGCCACCCUCCUUGGAUCCCUCAACGUCAGUAGGGUAAAGUUGUAUGAUGCAGAUCCCAAUGUCCUCCAAGCAUUUUCCA